Molecule: ribosomal RNA, 389 nt
Filed under: uncultured bacterium
Lineage: Bacteria
Description: bacterial SSU rRNA
Rfam family: Bacterial small subunit ribosomal RNA
Source: RNAcentral
GACGAACGCUGGCGGCGUGCCUAACACAUGCAAGUCGAACGGAGAUACGAUUUCGGUUGUAUCUUAGUGGCGAACGGGUGAGUAACGCGUGAGCAACCUGACCUUUAGAGGGGGAUAACACUUGGAAACAGGUGCUAAUACCGCAUAAGACCACGACCUGACAUCAGGAUGAGGUCAAAGGAGCAAUCCGCUAAAGGAGGGGCUCGCGUCCCAUUAGAUAGAUGGCGGGGUAACGGCCCACCAUGUCGACGAUGGGUAGCCGAGCUGAGAGGCUGAUCGGCCACACUGGAACUGAGACACGGUCCAGACUCCUACGGGAGGCAGCAGUGGGGAAUAUUGGGCAAUGGGCGCAAGCCUGACCCAGCAACGCCGCGUGAGGGAAGAAGGCC